Molecule: ribosomal RNA, 460 nt
Filed under: uncultured bacterium
Lineage: Bacteria
Description: partial 16S ribosomal RNA
Rfam family: Bacterial small subunit ribosomal RNA
Source: RNAcentral
CCUACGGGAGGCUGCAGUGAGGAAUAUUGGUCAAUGGACGAGAGUCUGAACCAGCCAAGUAGCGUGAAGGAUGACUGCCCUAUGGGUUGUAAACUUCUUUUAUAUGGGAAUAAAAUGUUCCACGUGUGGGAUUUUGUAUGUACCAUAUGAAUAAGGAUCGGCUAACUCCGUGCCAGCAGCCGCGGUAAUACGGAGGAUCCGAGCGUUAUCCGGAUUUAUUGGGUUUAAAGGGAGCGUAGGUGGAUUGUUAAGUCAGUUGUGAAAGUUUGCGGCUCAACCGUAAAAUUGCAGUUGACACUGGCAGUCUUGAGUACAGUAGAGGUGGGCGGAAUUCGUGGUGUAGCGGUGAAAUGCUUAGAUAUCACGAAGAACUCCGAUUGCGAAGGCAGUUCACUGGACUGCAACUGACACUGAGGCUCGAAAGUGUGGGUAUCAAACAGGAUUAGAUACCCGUGUAGUC